This 465-nucleotide ribosomal RNA is filed under the name Acinetobacter calcoaceticus. Its description in RNAcentral is "bacterial SSU rRNA". It matches the Rfam family "Bacterial small subunit ribosomal RNA", at positions 10 to 476 of the family's 1533-position model. The record is from RNAcentral. Lineage: Bacteria; Pseudomonadati; Pseudomonadota; Gammaproteobacteria; Moraxellales; Moraxellaceae.
AGUUUGAUCAUGGCUCAGAUUGAACGCUGGCGGCAGGCUUAACACAUGCAAGUCGAGCGGGGAAGGUUGCUUCGGUAACUGACCUAGCGGCGGACGGGUGAGUAAUGCUUAGGAAUCUGCCAUUUAGUGGGGGACAACAUUCCGAAAGGAAUGCUAAUACCGCAUACGUCCUACGGGAGAAAGCAGGGGAUCUUCGGACCUUGCGCUAAAUGAUGAGCCUAAGUCGGAUUAGCUAGUUGGUGGGGUAAAGGCCUACCAAGGCGACGAUCUGUAGCGGGUCUGAGAGGAUGAUCCGCCMCACUGGGACUGAGACACGGCCCAGACUCCUACGGGAGGCAGCAGUGGGGAAUAUUGGACAAUGGGCGCAAGCCUGAUCCAGCCAUGCCGCGUGUGUGAAGAAGGCCUUUUGGUUGUAUUUCACUUUAAGCGAGGAGGAGGCUACCUAGAUUAAUACUCUAGGAUAGU